GUGCCGCGCGACCGCCCGGCCGCCCCGGGGAGGCGGCGGCUAUUGUUCCCCGCGGGGGAGGGAGGUGCUCAGACUCGGGGUCCACGCCAGCCUCCUCCCCAGAGUGUCCCCACAUCUGAGGACGGGUGGGGGCUUCCUUUGUGUGUUUUGGGCCUGCGACGGGAAUGGCGCGCCGUUGCCGCCCCAAGGGGCCGCAGAAGGGGCCGAGAGGUUGGUGCCAGCGCUGUCGCUACUUCGAGCUCGGCCCAACCGACCGACCCAGUUUCCCGCUCUGCCCUUGCGGAAGAGACGGGGAGGGAUGUGGUAUUUGUAGGGCAUGCGCUUGGAACAAUAGAGCCAUCAAAAGGCCUUCUCCCUGGUCUCCUCCCAAGGCAGCUAGGCUCUUCUCCCCUCUUUCGGAAAGGCCGUGGCCCAACAGGUCCUCUUGGCCUGAUUUUAGGCCUGCUUUCCCAGUAAAAACACUUCAUCUGUUCUCCACAAAUCCUAAUUUAAAGUCUCCUCCUUGGACUCUUACUGAUGUAAACAUCCCAUUUUCAUUAUUUUCCAGAUAUUAUUCUUCCAUAAAUUGAUCCAGACUACCAUAGGAACCAGUCAAGAUAUUUUGCCACAGGAUCUAGGACAAGAGGAUUUACCUACUAUUGCCCACCUUGCAAAUCUCCUAGGGACCUUUCACCUGCUUCUGCUACUGCAAAUGAUUGGACAUCCAUUUACAUUUCCUCUUCUUCAUGUGUGGAAGGAAACUUUUGUUCACUGUGCUUCAGGCUGCCCCUGGCCUGAAAGUGGGUCCUUGAAUUCCCCUUGUACCAUUCCAACUUGCCAAGGUGGUUAUGAGACCUGAGGGAGGUGUUUAGGCGUGGACUUUGGGCCAGGUGUGUAAAUCCAUUUGGUACCAACUUUGGGCCCCAAGGAUAAGGGCAUGUGUAGCUGCACCAGAAGAGAGGGGAACAGUGAAAACUAAAAUUUCACCCUCUGUGAUGAUCUUCACCACCACCAGUACCAACAAUGUUGUAAGUACAGAGGAUUCACCUACCCAGUCGUUUUUCCUCUCCAUCCGGGCCCUCUGCAAGAGUGAGCCAGUGCUCAGAGAUGGUGGAGGGUAUGGCUGGUGACUCAGUCUCAACUGUGUCUCAACUGUGUCCAAAGUGUCUAGGGAGAAGUCUGCUCACCGGUAGCUAUAUCCUCUCUGGGAAGGCACAGUGCCCUAAAGUGGUGAGGCUGUAGGCCUGUGGGAACUGGGGCCUCCUGCCCCUCUUUUUAUUUUUAUUUAAUACUCACAAACUUCUCUUCAUUCCCCCCCUUUUUUUCCCUUACAGUUUCUGAAAGAAGGACGGAAGUAACACCAAGAACUCCCAGAUGAAGAGGACCUUCCUGGAUCUGUAACUGGGAUUAACCAGUUCUUUACUGGGAGAGAAAGUUUCAACUAAUCCUCAGGAUAAAAGCAAACAGGCCUGUGACUGUCCCUUGAACACUGACAGUGUAAACAAGCUUCUGGCUCCUCCAGGUCAAGCAGAGCAACACUUUUCAUUAGAAUGUUGGGUUUCUUCUUUGUUAUUCAAACAUACACCCACACACAUCCCCUUGUCCCUCCCUAAUGAACAAACCUCAACAGAUGGAGAGCCUAGGCU
This 1625-nucleotide long non-coding RNA is filed under the name Lynx pardinus (Iberian lynx). The record is from RNAcentral. Lineage: Eukaryota; Metazoa; Chordata; Mammalia; Carnivora; Felidae.